RNAcentral lists this ribosomal RNA (444 nucleotides) under uncultured bacterium. RNAcentral describes it as "SSU rRNA". It matches the Rfam family "Bacterial small subunit ribosomal RNA", at positions 26 to 518 of the family's 1533-position model. The record is from RNAcentral.
AGAACGAACGCUGGCGGCACGCCUAACACAUGCAAGUCGAGCGCCCAGCAAUGGGAGCGGCGGACGGGUGAGGAACACGUGGGAAUAUGCCUUUCGGUUCGGCACAACUGCGGGAAACUGCAGCUAAUUCCGGAUACGCCCUUACGGGGAAAGAUUUAUCGCCGAAAGAUUAGCCCGCGUCUGAUUAGCUAGUUGGUGAGGUAAUGGCUCACCAAGGCUUCGAUCAGUAGCUGGUUUGAGAGAACGACCAGCCACACUGGGACUGAGACACGGCCCAGACUCCUACGGGAGGCAGCAGUGGGGAAUCUUGGACAAUGGAGGAAACUCUGAUCCAGCGAUGCCGCGUGAGUGAUGAAGGCCUUCGGGUUGUAAAACUCUUUUACCAGGGAAGAUAAUGACUGUACCUGGAGAAUAAGCUCCGGCUAACUUCGUGCCAGCAGCCGC